GAUGAAGAACGCAGCGAAAUGCGAUAAGUAAUGUGAAUUGCAGAAUUCAGUGAAUCAUCGAAUCUUUGAACGCACAUUGCGCCCGCCAGCAUUCUGGCGGGCAUGCCUGUUCGAGCGUCAUUUCAACCCUCGAGCCCCCCCGGGGGCCUCGGUGUUGGGGGACGGCACAACAGCCGCCCCCGAAAUGCAGUGGCGACCCCGCCGCAGCCUCCCCUGCGUAGUAGCACACACCUCGCACCGGAGCGCGGAGGCGGUCACGCCGUAAAACGCCCAACUUUCUUAGAGUUGACCUCGGAUCAGGUAGGAAUACCCGCUGAACUUAAGCAUAUCAAUAAGCGGAGGA
Molecule: unclassified non-coding RNA, 343 nt
Filed under: soil metagenome
Description: partial contains 5.8S ribosomal RNA, internal transcribed spacer 2, and large subunit ribosomal RNA
Rfam family: 5.8S ribosomal RNA (bases 1-120)
Source: RNAcentral